This 468-nucleotide ribosomal RNA is filed under the name uncultured bacterium. RNAcentral's name for it is "partial 16S ribosomal RNA". It matches the Rfam family "Bacterial small subunit ribosomal RNA", at positions 28 to 507 of the family's 1533-position model. The record is from RNAcentral.
GACGAACGCUGGCGGCGUGCUUAACACAUGCAAGUCGAACGGAAAGGCCCUGCUUUUGUGGGGUGCUCGAGUGGCGAACGGGUGAGUAACACGUGAGUAACCUGCCCUUGACUUUGGGAUAACUUCAGGAAACUGGGGCUAAUACCGGAUAGGAGCUCCUGCUGCAUGGUGGGGGUUGGAAAGUUUCGGCGGUUGGGGAUGGACUCGCGGCUUAUCAGCUUGUUGGUGGGGUAGUGGCUUACCAAGGCUUUGACGGGUAGCCGGACUGAGAGGGUGACCGGCCACAUUGGGAUUGGGGUACGGCCCAGACUCCUACGGGAGGCAGCAGUGGGGAAUAUUGCACAAUGGGCGGAAUCCGGAUGCAGCAACGCCGCGUGCGGGAUGACGGCCGUCGGGUUGUAAACCGCGUGCGCCUGUGACGAAGCGUGAGUGACGGUAAUGGGUAAAGAAGAACCGGCUAACUACGUG